RNAcentral lists this non-coding RNA (26 nucleotides) under Mus musculus (house mouse). The record is from RNAcentral. Lineage: Eukaryota; Metazoa; Chordata; Mammalia; Rodentia; Muridae.
UAAUGGCAAAUGUGAGUGCGGCUCCC